GACGAACGCUGGCGGCGUGCCUAAUACAUGCAAGUAGAACGCUGAAGAGAGGAGCUUGCUCUUCUUGGAUGAGUUGCGAACGGGUGAGUAACGCGUAGGUAACCUGCCUUGUAGCGGGGGAUAACUAUUGGAAACGAUAGCUAAUACCGCAUAACAAUGGAUGACACAUGUCAUUUAUUUGAAAGGGGCAAUUGCUCCACUACAAGAUGGACCUGCGUUGUAUUAGCUAGUAGGAGAGGUAACGGCUCACCUAGGCGACGAUACAUAGCCGACCUGAGAGGGUGAUCGGCCACACUGGGACUGAGACACGGCCCAGACUCCUACGGGAGGCAGCAGUAGGGAAUCUUCGGCAAUGGGGGCAACCCUGACCGAGCAACGCCGCGUGAGUGAAGAAGGUUUUCGGAUCGUAAAGCUCUGUUGUAAGUCAAGAACGAGUGUGAGAGUGGAAAGUUCACACUGUGACGGUAGCUUACCAGAAAGGGACGGCUAACUACGUGCCAGCAGCCGCGGUAAUACGUAGGUCCCGAGCGUUGUCCGGAUUUAUUGGGCGUAAAGCGAGCGCAGGCGGUUUGAUAAGUCUGAAGUUAAAGGCUGUGGCUCAACCAUAGUUCGCUUUGGAAACUGUCAAACUUGAGUGCAGAAGGGGAGAGUGGAAUUCCAUGUGUAGCGGUGAAAUGCGUAGAUAUAUGGAGGAACACCGGUGGCGAAAGCGGCUCUCUGGUCUGUAACUGACGCUGAGGCUCGAAAGCGUGGGGAGCGAACAGG
RNAcentral lists this ribosomal RNA (765 nucleotides) under uncultured Streptococcus sp. RNAcentral describes it as "bacterial SSU rRNA". It matches the Rfam family "Bacterial small subunit ribosomal RNA", at positions 28 to 776 of the family's 1533-position model. The record is from RNAcentral. Lineage: Bacteria; Bacillati; Bacillota; Bacilli; Lactobacillales; Streptococcaceae.